This 1151-nucleotide long non-coding RNA is filed under the name Neodiprion lecontei (redheaded pine sawfly). RNAcentral's name for it is "uncharacterized LOC124295408". Lineage: Eukaryota; Metazoa; Arthropoda; Insecta; Hymenoptera; Diprionidae. The record is from RNAcentral.
GAUAAAACGUUUCAAAGAUAAAAAUGAACAUUUUUUUUUUUUUCAACAAGACAGCUUUACAGAGACAGUCGUAUAUUAGUUUCAGAAUUGUUGUCUUACAGACGAGCCACUCUCAUGUGAUUUCAUAAACUAUUCUCUCUUCUGAAAGGUUUCAGGAGUGGUGAUAAAAAAAACGAGAGAGCGAACAAAAAAAUAAAAAACCGUCUAACCAUCAUUCACAUAUAGUUUUGCAAUAUCGUGGGACGCUUAGGGUUCGCAAAUGACCGCGAAAUCAGAGAGAGAGAGAGAGAGAGAAGAGAGAGCGCGAAAAGAAGCAAGCACAAGGUGGUGGAUGUGGGCGUCCUCCUCGCACACAAGUUAGCUAGUGACGUCACAGUACAUAUUUGGCCAGCCAUGCCGAAAGAAAGGAUUUUGCCAACAGUGUGAUUUCAGUGAUAUACUAACGUAGAUUUCUGCACGUGUAUUGUUACUUAUAUGAAUAUAUAUAUAUUUAUAUUUAUUUUUUUUACAGGCAUAACAUCCCCGCGUGUUUUCCGUUUUCACGUAUAACGUUUGAUUGAAACGAAACUAAGGUCUAGCAAUUUUUCCGAAUUUAAAUAUCGAACGAACCGAUUCCGUUUUACCGAGGUCUUUUAUACAUAUAUAUAAAAGACCUAUUACAAUAUAUGAGUCACUGAUCGUAUACUUUAUGCAUCGUGGACGUUAUAAUACAUACGUGGGUAAGUUAAUUUGUAUAUUUGGAGCGAAGAGCCUAAGCUAGUAAUGUUUAUAAUUUCACGGUUUCACGGCGUAUAGAUGUAUAAUAUGUGUAUUAAAUAUAUACCUUAUGUACAUUGCGUAUGUAUGAUACUGUUGCGAAACCGUUUCUCGUGGCUUUUAUUCGUCAUUUAUUAACAACUUAUGAUUAUACAUACGUUGCUUGACCAUCGAGCGAUUUCCGCCCGCGACUCGGACAAACAAUACCGUUUCUGGUUCAUGAGAUAAGCGAACCUUAUGCGAAUAUUAUACAGAAAUGACAGAUAUUAUACAUACACACGGUUGAUGAUCGGUAAAUCGUAUAUUAUUACAGUAUUCAAUCUCUCAACCUCGUAUAUACUGGCACGAACAUCGAAACCCGGAAAAAAUCGUGUGUCACGGAACACACGCAGAAA